GGGGCAGCACAGGUAGCAAUACUGGGUGGCGACCGGCAAACGGGUGCGGAACACGUACGCAACCUUCCUCUGAGUGGGGAAUAGCCCGAAGAAAUUCGGAUUAAUACCCCGUAAUAUUAUUGGGUGGCAUCACCUGGUAAUUAAAGAACUUCGCUUAGAGAUGGGCGUGCGCCUGAUUAGGUAGUUGGUGAGGUAACGGCUCACCAAGCCGACGAUCAGUAACUGGCGUGAGAGCGCGACCAGUCACACGGGCACUGAGACACGGGCCCGACUCCUACGGGAGGCAGCAGUAAGGAAUAUUGGUCAAUGGACGCAAGUCUGAACCAGCCAUGCCGCGUGAAGGAUGAAGGUCCUCUGGAUUGUAAACUUCUUUUAUCUGGGAAGAAACCGCUUUUAUCUAAAGGCGUUGACGGUACCAGAGGAAUAAGCACCGGCUAACUCCGUGCCAGCAGCCGCGGUAAUACGGAGGGUGCAAGCGUUAUCCGGAUUCACUGGGUUUAAAGGGUGCGUAGGCGGAUUUGUAAGUCCGUGGUGAAAUCUCCAGGCUUAACCUGGAAACUGCCGUGGAUACUAUAAAUCUUGAAUGUUGUGGAGGUUAGCGGAAUAUGUCAUGUAGCGGUGAAAUGCAUAGAUAUGACAUAGAACACCAAUUGCGAAGGCAGCUGGCUACACAAAUAUUGACGCUGAGGCACGAAAGCGUGGGGGAUCAAACAGGAUUAGAUACCCUGGUAGUCCACGCCC
RNAcentral lists this ribosomal RNA (741 nucleotides) under Chitinophaga filiformis. RNAcentral describes it as "bacterial SSU rRNA". It matches the Rfam family "Bacterial small subunit ribosomal RNA", at positions 66 to 802 of the family's 1533-position model. Lineage: Bacteria; Pseudomonadati; Bacteroidota; Chitinophagia; Chitinophagales; Chitinophagaceae. The record is from RNAcentral.